RNAcentral lists this ribosomal RNA (932 nucleotides) under Cortinarius olivaceoniger. RNAcentral's name for it is "partial large subunit ribosomal RNA". It matches the Rfam family "Eukaryotic large subunit ribosomal RNA", at positions 39 to 954 of the family's 3401-position model. Lineage: Eukaryota; Fungi; Basidiomycota; Agaricomycetes; Agaricales; Cortinariaceae. The record is from RNAcentral.
CAUAUCAAUAAGCGGAGGGAAAAGAAACUAACAAGGAUUUCCCCUAGUAACUGCGAGUGAAGCGGGAAAAGCUCAAAUUUAAAAUCUGGCGGUCUUUGGCCGUCCGAGUUGUAAUCUAGAGAAGUGCUAUCCGCGCUGGACCGUGUACAAGUCUCCUGGAAUGGAGCGUCAUAGAGGGUGAGAAUCCCGUCUUUGACACGGACUGCCAGGGCUUUGUGAUGUGCUCUCAAAGAGUCGAGUUGUUUGGGAAUGCAGCUCAAAAUGGGUGGUAAAUUCCAUCUAAAGCUAAAUAUUGGCGAGAGACCGAUAGCGAACAAGUACCGUGAGGGAAAGAUGAAAAGAACUUUGGAAAGAGAGUUAAACAGUACGUGAAAUUGCUGAAAGGGAAACGCUUGAAGUCAGUCGCGUUGUCCAGGGAUCAUCCUUGCUUUUGCUUGGUGCACUUUCUGGUUGAUGGGUCAGCAUCAAUUUUGACCAUUGGAAAAAGAUUAGGGGAAUGUGGCAUCUUUGGAUGUGUUAUAGCCCUUUGUUGCAUACAAUGGUUGGGAUUGAGGAACUCAGCACGCCGCAAGGCCGGGUUUUUAACCACGUACGUGCUUAGGAUGCUGGCAUAAUGGCUUUAAUCGACCCGUCUUGAAACACGGACCAAGGAGUCUAACAUGCCUGCGAGUGUUUGGGUGGAAAACCCGAGCGCGUAAUGAAAGUGAAAGUUGAGAUCCCUGUCGUGGGGAGCAUCGACGCCCGGACCAGACCUUUUGUGACGGUUCCGCGGUAGAGCAUGUAUGUUGGGACCCGAAAGAUGGUGAACUAUGCCUGAAUAGGGUGAAGCCAGAGGAAACUCUGGUGGAGGCUCGUAGCGAUUCUGACGUGCAAAUCGAUCGUCAAAUUUGGGUAUAGGGGCGAAAAGACUAAUCGAACCAUCUAGUAGCUGG